GACGUCUGCUACAAAAGAUCGGGUUGCCAACUGAAGCUUGAAUGGGGGUCUGUAUGGGAAAGUUGUUUGUAUUGAACAUUCAAUUUAUACGACAUAGAGAUUCAUCCUUUACUCUGCACGAAUCCCUACGACGUGGACUGGACUGAACUCACUCUGGAAAUCCCGCAGAUUUCUGCUCUGCAGGCUUUAUCUACAAGUUGUAGUUCUCCCGGAGCAGGUGGACAGAGCUCCCUCCUAGACAUACUGUAGGACAAAGUUGAACUAAUUUUCCGAGGGGGAUACAGUCUCACAGGAGUAGGGGAGAGAGCAGAAGCUUGAAAACAGGAGAAAGAAGCAUUACAAAGUUUCUUAUAUUCACUUGGACUUUUGAUCUAUGUAAAGCUUGUUCAAUGGCAGGGCUGGGGAUAAAAAACAGCCCUGGAAAUAAAUGCAUACCA
Hyla sarda is the source of this 437-nucleotide long non-coding RNA. RefSeq lists it as uncharacterized. The record is from RefSeq and is a predicted model, not a curated record. The transcript is spliced from 3 exons. Lineage: Eukaryota; Metazoa; Chordata; Amphibia; Anura; Hylidae.